GCAGUCAUGGGGUAGUGGUAACCUGGGUCGUUGCCAUGGGCGUCCAGUUUUGUGCAUACUGCAUGACGUCGACCCGCCCCGAGUUCGAUUCUCGGUGGCUGCA
Non-coding RNA from Rhodofomes roseus, 103 nucleotides. The record is from the annotation of a RefSeq genome assembly. Lineage: Eukaryota; Fungi; Basidiomycota; Agaricomycetes; Polyporales; Fomitopsidaceae.